AUUAACAUUAAGACAAACCAGCCGAUGCGAAGCCAAAAGAAUAUAAACUCAAUUAGAUAAAAGACUCCGAGUUGGCCAUUGAUGGCGCUGUAAAAUUCACUUGGCUACACACACACACACAUACGCACGCACGCACGCACGCACACACACACGCGUGCAAACAGAGGAACUGACGCACCCACGAAGAUACUCGAAAUUUUUUGGAAGCGUGUUAAUUUGUUUUUAAUUCUUAAGGCCUUAAGGCCAACGGAGAAAGUUGAGCAUUUGGCUAUAAAUUAACAUUUAGUUACGCUACAUAAAAACCUGUCUAAAACAAGCAGAAAGUGCAUGAGUGCGCUCGAGCGUGUGUGUGUGUGUGACGAACUUUGAACUCAAGGAGCAGCACACAUAGCAUCACUUUACAUCUGUUAACCAGAAAUAUAAGUUUGGCUUGACACGGCUCAACAUCAAAUGGAAAUCGUCACGCUUCUAAGCAACCGAUGCCGAUUCCCAAUUUCGAGCCCAAUCUAUUAGCAAUCACUGAGCAGGGAGCUCUCUACCCCCCCAUCAUCAUCAUCAUCAUUUGGAACUGUUUGCUGCGUAGGCAGCUCAUCUCGCUACUUGGCUAUUGAAAUUGUGCUUGGAGUGAUUCAUUUAAUGGAGCAUGAAAUCUGUAACAUUCUCUAAACAAUUUCACAGCACUGCAAAGUGGCCGCUAAUGAUGACUCUAAUUAGCUCUUAUGAGGUGUGUGGUCAAUAACAACCGUGACAAAGGUCCAUUCUUUGAGUUGAGAAUAAAUCCUGAAUGAUUUACAGAGAUUAAUUCAUAGCGGGGAAGAGGGAUAGCGAAAGUAUUGAUUGUAUAAAGCAUUUGUAUAAUUGUA
RNAcentral lists this small RNA (863 nucleotides) under Drosophila virilis. RNAcentral describes it as "GJ25965". Lineage: Eukaryota; Metazoa; Arthropoda; Insecta; Diptera; Drosophilidae. The record is from RNAcentral.